CGGCGGACGGGUGAGUAAUGUCUGGGAAACUGCCUGAUGGAGGGGGAUAACUACUGGAAACGGUGGCUAAUACCGCAUAACGUCUCAAGACCAAGGUGGGGGACCUUCGGGCCUCACGCCAUCGGAUGUGCCCAGAUGGGAUUAGCUAGUAAGUGGGGUAAUGGCUCACCUAGGCGACGAUCCCUAGCUGGUCUGAGAGGAUGACCAGCCACACUGGAACUGAGACACGGUCCAGACUCCUACGGGAGGCAGCAGUGGGGAAUAUUGCACAAUGGGCGCAAGCCUGAUGCAGCCAUGCCGCGUGUGUGAAGAAGGCCUUCGGGUUGUAAAGCACUUUCAGCCAGGAGGAAGGCAUCACACUUAAUACGUGUGGUGAUUGACGUUACUCGCAGAACAAGCACCGGCUAACUCCGUGCCAGCAGCCGCGGUAAUACGGAGGGUGCAAGCGUUAAAUCGGAAUUACUGGGCGUAAAGCGCACGCAGGCGGUUUGUUAAGUCAGAUGUGAAAUCCCCGCGCUUAACGUGGGAACUGCAUUUUGAAACUGGCAAG
Molecule: ribosomal RNA, 550 nt
Filed under: bacterium BaC1-33
Lineage: Bacteria
Description: bacterial SSU rRNA
Rfam family: Bacterial small subunit ribosomal RNA
Source: RNAcentral